RNAcentral lists this ribosomal RNA (429 nucleotides) under Bacteroidota bacterium. RNAcentral's name for it is "Bacteroidetes bacterium partial 16S ribosomal RNA". It matches the Rfam family "Bacterial small subunit ribosomal RNA", at positions 355 to 776 of the family's 1533-position model. Lineage: Bacteria; Pseudomonadati; Bacteroidota. The record is from RNAcentral.
UAGGGAAUCUUCCGCAAUGGACGCAAGUCUGACGGAGCAACGCCGCGCGAGUGAAGAAGGAUUUCGGUUCGUAAAACUCUGUUGUUAGAGAAGAACAGCGCAUAGAGUAACUGUUAUGCGUGUGACGGUAUCUAACCAGAAAGCCACGGCUAACUACGUGCCAGCAGCCGCGGUAAUACGUAGGUGGCAAGCGUUGUCCGGAUUUAUUGGGCGUAAAGCGAGCGCAGGCGGUCAAUUAAGUCUGAUGUGAAAGCCCCCGGCUCAACCGGGGAGGGUCAUUGGAAACUGGUUGACUUGAGUGCAGAAGAGGAGAGUGGAAUUCCAUGUGUAGCGGUGAAAUGCGUAGAUAUAUGGAGGAACACCAGUGGCGAAGGCGACUCUCUGGUCUGUAACUGACGCUGAGGUUCGAAAGCGUGGGUAGCAAACAGG